UACCGCGUCGGCGACGUGCUCCGCGUGGCGGGUUACCACAACGCCGCUCCACGGUUCACGUUCGUGCGCCGCAAGAACGUGCUGGUCUCCAUCGAAUCUAACAAGACCGACGAGGUCGAGCUGCAGCACGCCGUGGAGCGGGCCUCGGACCUGCUUCGGCCUCAUGGCGCGUCCGUGGCGGAGUACACCAGCCACGCAUGCACCAAGCGCAUCCCGGGGCACUACAUCAUCUACUGGGAGCUGCUGACCACCGGCAACGAGGCGGUGAGCAAGGAGACCCUCGACAGGUGCUGCCUGGAGAUGGAGGAGGCCCUGAACGCGGUCUACAAGCAGAGCCGGGUGGCGGAUGGGUCGGUCGGGCCGCUCGAGAUCCUGUCCUCCGGCCCGGCACCUUCAAGGAGCUCAUGUACGACGCCAUCUCUUGCGGCGCGUCCAUCAACCAGUACAAGGUGCCCCGUUGCGCCGCGCUCCCGCCCAUCAUUGAGCUGCUCGACUCGUGUGUCGUGUCUGCCCACUUCAGCCCUAGCUUGUCACACUGGACCCCAGCGCGGAGCCACGGCUAGAAGGAGGCAGCUGGUCGGGUCAUGCUCACCGAUGUUUGGGGUGAUUGACUUUGUUGGGUAUGGGAGGUGCUUCCCGUGGCCUUGA
Molecule: ribosomal RNA, 648 nt
Filed under: Triticum aestivum (bread wheat)
Lineage: Eukaryota; Viridiplantae; Streptophyta; Magnoliopsida; Poales; Poaceae
Description: partial small subunit ribosomal RNA
Source: RNAcentral